UGGGGAAUAUUGCACAAUGGGCGCAAGCCUGAUGCAGCCAUGCCGCGUGUGUGAAGAAGGCCUUCGGGUUGUAAAGCACUUUCAGCGGGGAGGAAGGUGUCAAGGUUAAUAACCUUGGCAAUUGACGUUACCGACAGAAGAAGCACCGGCUAACUCCGUGCCAGCAGCCGCGGUAAUACGGAGGGUGCAAGCGUUAAUCGGAAUUACUGGGCGUAAAGCGCACGCAGGCGGUUGAUUGAGUCAGAUGUGAAAUCCCCGGGCUUAACCCGGGAAUUGCAUCUGAUACUGGUCAGCUAGAGUCUUGUAGAGGGGGGUAGAAUUCCAUGUGUAGCGGUGAAAUGCGUAGAGAUGUGGAGGAAUACCGGUGGCGAAGGCGGCCCCCUGGACAAAGACUGACGCUCAGGUGCGAAAGCGUGGGGAGCAAACAGG
This 429-nucleotide ribosomal RNA is filed under the name Chloroflexota bacterium. RNAcentral's name for it is "Chloroflexi bacterium partial 16S ribosomal RNA". It matches the Rfam family "Bacterial small subunit ribosomal RNA", at positions 355 to 776 of the family's 1533-position model. Lineage: Bacteria; Bacillati; Chloroflexota. The record is from RNAcentral.